UCUAUGGCCAUACCACCCUGAAUGCGCCCGAUCUCGUCUGACCUUGGAAGCUAAGCAGGGUCAGGCCUGGUUAGUACUUGGAUGGGAGAGUAGUUAAGCUGGAACUGUUCCUAGAAUACUCAGGUCCUUUAUGAG
Molecule: ribosomal RNA, 135 nt
Filed under: Prolemur simus (greater bamboo lemur)
Lineage: Eukaryota; Metazoa; Chordata; Mammalia; Primates; Lemuridae
Source: RNAcentral